This 480-nucleotide ribosomal RNA is filed under the name uncultured bacterium. Its description in RNAcentral is "bacterial SSU rRNA". It matches the Rfam family "Bacterial small subunit ribosomal RNA", at positions 903 to 1397 of the family's 1533-position model. The record is from RNAcentral.
AAAGGAAUAGACGGGGGAGCGCACAACCGGUGGAGCAUGUGGUUUAAUUCGAUACAAAGCGAAAAACCUUACCUGGGUUUGACAUGUACCUGCACGGCUUAGGAAACUAAGUCUUCUUCGAGAGUGGUACACAGGUGUUGCAUGGCUGUCGUCAGCUCGUGUCGUGAGGCGUCCACUUAAGUGUGGUAACGAGCGCAACCCUUAUCUCGUGUUACAAGUGUCACGAGAGACUGCCCUGCUUUUUGCAGGGAGGAAGGAGAGGAUGACGUCAAGUCAGCACGACCCUUACAUCCAGGGCUACACACAUCCUACAAUGGAGCCGACAACGGGAAGCAAGACCGCAAGGUGGAGCUAAUCCUUAAACGGCCCCUCAGUUCAGAUUGUGGGCUGCAAUUCGCCCACAUGAAGUCGGAAUCGGUAGUAAUCGCAAAUCAGCAGGUUGCGGUGAAUACGUUCUCGCUCCUUGUACACACCGCCCGU